This 466-nucleotide ribosomal RNA is filed under the name uncultured Klebsiella sp. RNAcentral's name for it is "bacterial SSU rRNA". It matches the Rfam family "Bacterial small subunit ribosomal RNA", at positions 338 to 795 of the family's 1533-position model. Lineage: Bacteria; Pseudomonadati; Pseudomonadota; Gammaproteobacteria; Enterobacterales; Enterobacteriaceae. The record is from RNAcentral.
CCUACGGGAGGCUGCAGUGGGGAAUAUUGCACAAUGGGCGCAAGCCUGAUGCAGCCAUGCCGCGUGUGUGAAGAAGGCCUUCGGGUUGUAAAGCACUUUCAGCGGGGAGGAAGGCGGUGAGGUUAAUAACCUCAUCGAUUGACGUUACCCGCAGAAGAAGCGCCGGCUAACUCCGUGCCAGCAGCCGCGGUGAAUACGGAGGGUGCAAGCGUUAAUCGGAAUUACUGGGCGUAAAGCGCACGCAGGCGGUCUGUCAAGUCGGAUGUGAAAUCCCCGGGCUCAACCUGGGAACUGCAUUCGAAACUGGCAGGCUAGAGUCUUGUAGAGGGGGGUAGAAUUCCAGGUGUAGCGGUGAAAUGCGUAGAGAUCUGGAGGAAUACCGGUGGCGAAGGCGGCCCCCUGGACAAAGACUGACGCUCAGGUGCGAAAGCGUGGGGAGCAAACAGGAUUAGAUACCCGAGUAGUC